Molecule: long non-coding RNA, 2906 nt
Filed under: Sus scrofa (pig)
Lineage: Eukaryota; Metazoa; Chordata; Mammalia; Artiodactyla; Suidae
Description: lncRNA (ENSSSCG00025012098.1)
Source: RNAcentral
CUUCUAUCACUGCCCUCGCUACCUAUACACUCCCUUCCGUGUCUUUCUCCACUUCCCCCACCCGCGUUCCCCGCGCGGACGGAGCUGAGGGGGCGGGGGCUCCCUCCCGGGAGCGCUUCUAGAGCUCGGAGGCAGCUCGUAGGGGCUUGACAGUCUACAUGUUUAAGUCUACCAGAAAAAAAAAAAAAAAUCACUGGAUAUGAAGUUGCAAUACAGAUCAAAGUCUGCAUCCACAUCCUCACAUUGGUGACCUUGGGGCACCACUUUCAGAUAAAAACAUAGACCUGAAUGGCAUCAUCCAGUAUCCAAGGAAACCAUGUAAGUACCUCUCUCACUGUGUACUUCUCUUAUUCAGAGUUUAAAAGCUAGCUGAGUACUGAAUAAGUGAGUGUUUUUAUUUAAUAAUUAUACGGGAGGUACUUUUUAGGAGUUUGCUAAAAAGAAACAGGUUCUUGAUUGUUAUAUGCAUCAUAACAAAGCUCUUAUGUUUUCAUCAUAUUUUUUAAAAUUAUGUGCUUAGUUCCAACCUCUCCAUCAUUUCUCAUUCUUAGGUACAAAACAGCUACUCAAAGUCCUGAUGAAUUGAGAGUUUCAAACUUUUCUAAGACCCAUUAGUGUCUGAGAAACAAUGUUUCAGAGUCCCUGUGCCAAGAAUAGUUACCUAAUGGUGAUAAAGCUUUUUAAAUUUUAAAAAUUAAGAAAAAUUAUUUGAAAAUAUUAUUUUGUUAGUAAAUAUUUGUAGCAGUUUAUUUGGUUUGAGACUUGCUCGGGGAUUGAGCAAGUGAGCGAAGAGAUGAGAUUAAGUAUUUAAACAACCAAAUCAUCUUGAAAGCAAGUGUAAUUUCCAAAAUGCAAAAAUUUGUUGGACAACAAUUUGAGAGGUUGGCAUAUUAUUUUCAUUCAUUUUUUCUCUUUUUCAUUCAUUCUUUCUCUUUUGCACCCAAUUUAAGGUACAUUUCAGUAGCUAAUAUCAGGGCCCUAAUUAAUUUUCAGAAAUGAUGGAAUCUACUAUGGAAAUUCAGCUUUAAAAUAACAUAGUGUUCUAGAGAUAGAUCUAUUUCUAAAAUAUUUGGAUUAUUCUAUCAAGUAUUUCUUUACUUGGACUUUAUUAUUUUCUCAUAUUUGAACUUUCUACUUUUGAUAUAAAAUUAUUUUCAAUAUUAAAUUAUUAUUCAUUAUAGUUUACUUUUUUUUUUUGUCGUUUAUCUUUUUUUUUUUUUAGGGCCACACCCACAGCAUAUGGAAGUUCCCAGGCUAGGGGUCUACCUAAUUGGCGCUGUAGCUGCUGGCCUACGCCACAGCAACGUGAGAUUCGAGCCGGGCCUGUGACCUACACCAAAGCUCAUGGCAAUGCCAGAUCCUCAGAUCCUGCAAGGCCAGGGAUCGAACCCACAACCUCAUGGUUCCUAGUUGGAUUCGUUAAUCACUGAGCCAUGACGGGAACUCCUGGUUUAUCUAGUUUUUUUUAAAAUGCAGACAUAUUACUUUUCAUUAGGGUUUUCAGGAGCUGCAUUUAAGUGCAACUGGUUCAGACUUGUGGUUUGGGAGUUUUUCAUAUUAUUUGGGUUUACUUUUGUUACUGUUGUGUUUCUCUCUUUCUACUGCAUCAUGAUUCCUUGCUAAGUAUGAAGGACAGAGGUGAUAUCACUCAGUUUCUCUGCUAAGUUAGACAUACCCUUUACCCAUGAGGAGAACCUGGCUAGGCUAUGAGUGUUUUUUAUGCUAGUUACAAACUUCACAAGUGUGGAGUUGGAGGCCUGACAUACUGCCCUUUGAACCAGGAAUUUCAUCACACAAAAUAAAGAUUGUACCAUUGCUGGGUAAACUUUGAAGCAGAUCAGGGUUAGAAUAGAUCAUUAAAGAAGAAAGACAAUACAAAUUGGAAAGGAAAACUGGCUAAUGUUAUAAUUCCCCAUUUCGAGGAAAUGGAUAUUUUAAUUCAACCUCCUAUACCACAGAAAAAUGACUUAAUAGAAAUAAACUGAUAAAUGAACAUCAGUUCAUCAGUAGUGUUCUAACAAAGAUCAUUAUGCAGCAAAACUUUCUGUGAUGAUGGGCAUGUUCUAUAUCUGCAAGUCCAGUGUGGUAACCAGUAGCCACGUGUCUGUUGAGCACUUGAAAUAUGACUUGUGUGAUGGAGAAAUGGAAUUUUAAUUUUAUUUAAAUUUAAUUACUUUCAAUUUACAUAGGCCAUAUGUAACUAGUGGCCACUGUACUAAUAUUUUGCUUUUAUUGGAAAUUAAAAUACCCUCUUGCAAAGAGUUUUUAAUCUUUUCGUAUGCUAUCAUAUAAUAUACCAAAAGAUUAAUAUUUGCUUUGAUAUUUGAAUUAUCAUUGUAGUGAAAUAUUUUAUAACAUUUCCCAGAGAUGGAUGUUUUUAAUACUGUUGAUGGGAAUACAUAAUAUUGAUUUAUAAGCCUGGGGUAGCAACUUUUAAAGUGGCCAUUGUAAACAAGUCUGUGUUUAAAAAGAAAAACACUUUAAUGAAAGUUCUAAGACGAUAAAUAUUUUGAAAAUACAUUCUUGCAAAUACUUCCUAAAAUGUGACCAGCUUAUACAAAUGCACACGCUGGCCUUGAUUCCCCAAAGUCGAUCCCAAAGCACACAUCAGGUUUUAAACAUGCUCCUAUAGCCUUUUCAGAUAUUUAGUGAAAAUGAGCAUUAGGAUGCAUGAUAUUUUAAUAGUAGUGCUAGUACAGUAAUGUUGUAGACAAAAUAAUUAUCUAAAAUACUGAAAAUUUGAAAUUAAUAUUUUAAAAAUCAGUAAGUCAACUGAUUUCUUAUCCAGGAAAUGGAGGGCAGGAUUUAGAUAAGGUAAGAAGAGAGAAGAGAUUUCUUUAAUCUGAACCUUGGACAAGCUACUCAGAGUAUCCCUCUGACUGCCAAAAAAAAAAAAAAAAAAAAAA